UCCGGUUUGUCACCGGCAGUCAUCUUAGAGUGCCCACCUUGCGUGCUGGCAACUAAGAUCAAGGGUUGCGCUCGUUGCGGGACUUAACCCAACAUCUCACGACACGAGCUGACGACAACCAUGCACCACCUGUCUCCCCUGUCCCGAAGGAAAGGCACAUCUCUGCGCCGGUCAGGGGGAUGUCAAGACCUGGUAAGGUUCUUCGCGUUGCUUCGAAUUAAACCACAUACUCCACUGCUUGUGCGGGUCCCCGUCAAUUCCUUUGAGUUUCAGUCUUGCGACCGUACUCCCCAGGCGGAGUGCUUACUGUGUUAACUUCGGCACCAAGGGUAUCGAAACCCCUAACACCUAGCACUCAUCGUUUACGGCGUGGACUAC
This 378-nucleotide unclassified non-coding RNA is filed under the name uncultured Paenibacillaceae bacterium. Its description in RNAcentral is "contains 16S-23S intergenic spacer region". The record is from RNAcentral. Lineage: Bacteria; Bacillati; Bacillota; Bacilli; Caryophanales; Paenibacillaceae.